RNAcentral lists this long non-coding RNA (2334 nucleotides) under Nicotiana benthamiana. RNAcentral describes it as "long non-coding RNA (NBEN_LNC024775)". The record is from RNAcentral. Lineage: Eukaryota; Viridiplantae; Streptophyta; Magnoliopsida; Solanales; Solanaceae.
UUUAGGAUUUGAUUAAUUGUGGAUUUCUCGAACUCGUAUUAGCUUUUACGGUCUGGACUAAUUUUCUCUGUUGUACUUUGCGCGUUCCUAUUAGUAAUCCAGAAUGUUCCUAUUUGGCUGGCAAUAAAAUUUGAAGUUGGGAAUAAUACUUGUUGAUUUUUUUUUUGACUACGACUUCUCCUUUCUUUCUUUGCUUUAUAGUACCACUUCCCGCCAGAUUAUAGUCAAGUCUUAGCUUGUUGUAAAGAAAGAAACUACUUUUAUUUUUGUAUUUUUCUUUUUCUUGGCAAGCACCAUUAUCUUUUUGGCUACUUUUUAUUGUGUAACUAUAUUGUAUUAUUGUACUAGUUUAUUUUCUCCUAAUUGGGGUUUGCCCUUUUUUAAACCAUAUAUCUUACAAUUUCACCUUCCUCCUUGACGCAGGCUACGAGCAGUGUUGAAUCUGCCUCCGCAAUAAUUCUCUUCAAGCCCAUUUCCACGUAGAACUUGAGCCCCAAUAGCAUGACCUUACCCUCGGCUUCGUUGCUUGUUCCCUUUCCCAGAAAGAAUGAGUAUGCUAAGACGAAAUUUCCAAAAAUGUCUCUUAUAAUUUCUCCUGCUCCACUAUUCCCUUCUUGGCAACUUCCAUCACUAUUUAGCUUAUAGGACAUCGGUGGUGGUUUCACCCAUCUCACCAUCUUACUAGUUCUAUGCACCAUAGGUUGAUCAAUGAGUUUUUGUAACUGAUCCCACGAGAGUUGUUGUUGUAGCUUUCCGAACAUUUGUCUGACUACCUUUGCUAGAUUUGCGGUUAUGAACUUUUCGGAUCUCCUGCUCUAUGGUGCUUCUCCCCCAUACUUUGAGGCGCAUCAGGAUCUCCACAACUCCCAUGUUAUGAUUGUAGGUAUACCCUAUGCAUGAAGGUUGUCACCAGAUUCAUAUAUUUAUGGUUCCACCAUAGGAGGAAUAUAUGGUUGUACUGUUGGUAUACAACUUGUAGACCAAACGGGGCAGCAAAUAUUUUCAAGAUAUCUUGAGCAUGUGUACAUAGUAAAAGAGAACCUCUCAACUCCAUUUUCGGAAAGGCUUUAGUUCUCUCUCUCCUCUAUCUUCAGCCUCUCUCCCUCUCAACUCCAUUUUUCUUUUACUUUUAGCUUUAAUUCUUGAAUUUUAUUUGCUUCCGAUCGGCCCAGCUCUUUCGCCGGCGAAGUUUAGCAGCAUCCCGUGUUUUAGGGCUUUCGGUCUUCCUUUGCUUUGUUUGCUUCAUCUGAUCUCUUCUUCUUCUUUUUUCCAUUCUCGAUCUUUUUCCCAUACAUCUAUUUUAUUUUCAAGUUUUUCCUAAAGAUUGUUCUUUUUCCAAGGUUUUUUCUGUUCUUUUGGAACUGAUUUUCCUCUAUUGAUUAAUUUUUUUCGUUUUUAGAUCUGAAUUUAUAUUCCAAACUUUUGUUGACUAGUAACCUUAGAUUUAAUAUUUUAAAAUAUAUAUUUACUUUUCCCUAAAAGUUUUUUAUAAAGGUUUUGAUUUAUAUUUGUUUAGCCGUUUAUAUUUUCUUUUAAGAUUCAACUUUCAUUUAUUGAAUGAAUAAAUGAAAUCACGUAUUCUCUCUCUCUUCCAAACCUAUCACGAUUUGCUGGCCUUAAACAGCUUUAAUUUCUUACUUUAACUAAUAAUCUAAUUCUCAUGUGUAAUAAUACCCUUUGAUUUGUUCUUCCUAAUUUCGGGUCGAUAUUAAACUGAGCUCGAUUUUGCCUUUCGUUUGCGUUCUCUUUUAUCUUAAGGGUUCAUUUGUGUGUUAUGUUCUUUAUGGUUAAUCAGCCUUUGAGGCAUUAAUUAUGCAUAUAAUUAAUCUCCUUGUAUCACUCUUCAAGCUCUCACCAGUUUUAGGAUUUGAUUAAGUGUGAAUUUCUCGAACUCGUAUUAGCUUUUACGGUCUGGACCAAUUUUCUAUGUUGUACUUUGCGCGUUCCUAUUAGUAAUCCGGAAUGUUCCUAUUUGGCUGGCAAUAAAAUUUGAAGUUGGGAAUUAUACUUGUUGAUUUCUUUUUGACUACGACUUCUCCUUUCUUUCUUUUCUUUAUAGUACCACUUCCAGCCAGAUUACAGUCAAGUCUUCGCUUAAGAAAGAAACUACUUUUUAUUUUUGUAUUUUUCUUUUUCUUGGCAAGCACCAUUAUCUUUUUAGCUAUUUUUUGUUGUGUAACUAUAUUGUAUUAUUGUACUAGUUUAUUUUCUCCUAAUUGGGGUUUGCCCUUUUUUAAUAUAUUGUGCUUUUAUCAACGUUGAGUUUUGGGUAUUUUCUGAUGGGGGGUUACUUUACUCUCUGAGUUUUCCCAGAUUUAGUUUUUGGUGUAAAAG